This is a long non-coding RNA of Solenopsis invicta (red fire ant), 1123 nucleotides long. RefSeq lists it as uncharacterized. The record is from RefSeq and is a predicted model, not a curated record. NCBI's taxonomy places the organism in Eukaryota, Metazoa, Arthropoda, Insecta, Hymenoptera, Formicidae. The transcript has 4 exons.
CGCAGUCUAUGCACUAGCAGCAGUCGGUUGGUUAGGGAAGACGGCGGAAGGUUAUGGCGCGUCGCGGCGCAUUUCAACUCGCAUCCUCGUCGACCCGUAGGAGUUUUUGACGCGAGCGAUUGUUUCGAAAGUGUCGUGAAGCAGUGAAGUGUCGGGCAUUCGUGCCGGCAUCGCCAUUGGAAUCCCCGGCCAGGAUCUGAUUACAGCGAUAACGAAACAUUCGUACUUAGAUUCUUGUGAAGUCUGAUACUCAGGGCCUGAAAGAGGAAGAAGUGCCGGCGUCCGUCGUGUCGGAUGCAUGGUGCGAAGUCGUGUCGCGUUCAAUCGUGUUUCGCAUUUUCUCCGUUGUCUGGUAUCCUGAAUUUCCGACGCACGUGAAGGGUUUUGAGAGUUCCGAGAUCGAAAGAUCGCGCGUUCGUGCCAAGUUUGAAUCGAGACAAAUCAUAUAUUGUGAGGAGGAUCUUUGACGGACUCAAACAUUCGAGAGCUGCGGCCAAGACCAUCGAUGGAGGGCAAGCACGCUAGGCAAGUUAUAAACGUAACUGAGUAUGCAAUGGCAUUGCAAAGAUUGAAAGAAGCUUUGGAAAAGGAUAAAGUAGUUAUCAAACUUUCUUCAAUGGGAUACAAAUCUUCCGUGUUUUAUUAUGGAUUCUAGUGAACCAAUUAAAGCAUUUAAAUUUUAUAGAAGCAGAGUUAAAAGAAUUGCAAUUGUCACAAGAAGAGUGCGACUUGAAGAAUUAGUUGCAAAACUGGAAGAGACUUUGGCUUAAAAAGAUGAUGCGGAUCUUGAAGAAAUAACAAAAUAAACGAACGAACUUGAACAAGCGAGCUUGAAAUUGUUUGAAAUGGUGUAUAAAAGGAUGGCAGCAGAAAAAAAAGUCAAAAUCAAUCACAGCAAGAACCUGAGGGUGAAAGGAAGGAGGAGACAAAUUAAUUCUAUUUAGAUAACUCACGUUCUAUGAAGAAGAUAAACAAAUUCACAUUUGCAUACAUUUGUAUUAGCAUCUGUUGCUGUUCCAUAAGCUCAAAGAAACCAUUUAUUUUAGAAAAAAGAAAUUAAAUUUCGAUAUUUUGUGCGAUAGUAACAGAUUAAAAAUAAAGUAUUUAAACAUGAAAAAAGCUG